Parelaphostrongylus tenuis is the source of this 73-nucleotide non-coding RNA. The record is from the annotation of a GenBank genome assembly. NCBI's taxonomy places the organism in Eukaryota, Metazoa, Nematoda, Chromadorea, Rhabditida, Metastrongylidae.
GUGUCGGUAGUGCAGCGGUUUAGCACAUGCUCCAGGAAGGAGUAAGAUCUGAGUUCAAAUCCCAACUGACGCA